Oryctolagus cuniculus (rabbit) is the source of this 378-nucleotide non-coding RNA. The record is from RefSeq and is a predicted model, not a curated record. NCBI's taxonomy places the organism in Eukaryota, Metazoa, Chordata, Mammalia, Lagomorpha, Leporidae.
GUGAGUUAGAUCUAACCUGACCAGGUUUCCCUGCUCUGGAAAAGAAGUUGAGAUUGGCAGCAAGGAAAUUUGUGACUAAGCACAGUGCUCUCUGCUAUGGCCUGGGAAAGCAGUAAAGGAUGCCCCAAGAGCUUGGGUCCAUGCACCCUUGUGGGAGAUCCAGAGAAAGCUCCUGGCUCCUGGUUCCUGGCUCCUUGGUUUGGAUCAGCACAGCUCUGGCUGUUGCAGCCAUUUGGAGAAUCUAACCAGAAUGAUCUGGCUGCAGUAAUGGUGUCUGGAUUGGAGAAGAAGAAGUAGAGUCGUCUUUAUUCAAAGAUAGUAUGAUCUUACAUUUAGAAUGUCAUAAUAUUCAUUAAAAGUAUUGAAGUUAAUAAGUGA